AACGAACGCUGGCGGCGCGUUUUAAGCAUGCAAGUCGAAUGAAAAGUCCACUUCGGUGGAUGGACCAUGGCGAACGGGUGAGUAACACGUAGGUAAUCUGCCUUUGGGAUGGGGAUAACCCAUGGAAACAUGGAAUAAUACCGAAUGAAGUAGUUUUUUCAAUGAUUAAGCUAUGAAAGGAGCUUCGGCUCCGCCUGAAGAUGAGCCUGCGGCUCAUUAGCUAGUUGGUAGGGUAAAGGCCUACCAAGGCAACGAUGAGUAGCCGACCUGAGAGGGUGACCGGCCACAUUGGGACUGAGAUACGGCCCAGACUCCUACGGGAGGCAGCAGCUAAGAAUCUUCCGCAAUGGGCGAAAGCCUGACGGAGCGACGCCGCGUGAAUGAUGAAGGCCGAGAGGUUGUAAAGUUCUUUUCCUGGGGAGGAAUAAUGAGAGGAGGAAAUGCCUUUCAGAUGACGUCAACCA
This 464-nucleotide ribosomal RNA is filed under the name uncultured bacterium. RNAcentral describes it as "bacterial SSU rRNA". It matches the Rfam family "Bacterial small subunit ribosomal RNA", at positions 29 to 481 of the family's 1533-position model. The record is from RNAcentral.